This 492-nucleotide ribosomal RNA is filed under the name uncultured bacterium. RNAcentral's name for it is "partial 16S ribosomal RNA". It matches the Rfam family "Bacterial small subunit ribosomal RNA", at positions 29 to 507 of the family's 1533-position model. The record is from RNAcentral.
AGUGAACGCUGGCGGUAGGCCUAACGCAUGCAAGUCGAACGGCAGCACAGUAAGAGCUUGCUCUUACGGGUGGCGAGUGGCGGACGGGUGAGGAAUACAUCGGAAUCUACUUUUUCGUGGGGGAUAACGUAGGGAAACUUACGCUAAUACCGCAUACGACCUACGGGUGAAAGCAGGGGAUCUUCGGACCUUGCGCGAUUGAAUGAGCCGAUGUCGGAUUAGCUAGUUGGCGGGGUAAAGGCCCACCAAGGCGACGAUCCGUAGCUGGUCUGAGAGGAUGAUCAGCCACACGGGAACUGAGACACGGUCCAGACUCCUACGGGAGGCAGCAGUGGGGAAUAUUGGACAAUGGGCGCAAGCCUGAUCCAGCCAUACCGCGUGGGUGAAGAAGGCCUUCGGGUUGUAAAGCCCUUUUGUUGGGAAAGAAAAGCAGCAGGUUAAUACCCCGCUGUUCUGACGGUACCCAAAGAAUAAGCACCGGCUAACUUCGUG